This 426-nucleotide ribosomal RNA is filed under the name Microvirga ossetica. Its description in RNAcentral is "partial 16S ribosomal RNA". It matches the Rfam family "Bacterial small subunit ribosomal RNA", at positions 355 to 774 of the family's 1533-position model. RNAcentral also lists the same sequence under 1 other name. Lineage: Bacteria; Pseudomonadati; Pseudomonadota; Alphaproteobacteria; Hyphomicrobiales; Methylobacteriaceae. The record is from RNAcentral.
UUUCGAAUCAUUCACAAUGGGCGAAAGCCUGAUGGUGCGACGCCGCGUGAGGGAUGAAGGCCUUCGGGUCGUAAACCUCUGUCACCGGGGAAGAAACGCUUCAAGUUAACAGCUUGAAGCCUGACUUAACCCGGAGAGGAAGCAGUGGCUAACUCUGUGCCAGCAGCCGCGGUAAUACAGAGACUGCAAGCGUUAUUCGGAUUCACUGGGCGUAAAGGGUGCGCAGGCGGCCGUGUGUGUGAGGUGUGAAAGCCCGAUGCUUAACAUCGGAAUUGCACCUCAAACUAUACGGCUAGAGCAUUGGAGAGGGUAGCGGAAUUCACGGUGUAGCAGUGAAAUGCGUAGAUAUCGUGAGGAACACCAGAGGCGAAGGCGGCUACCUGGACAAUUGCUGACGCUCAGGCACGAAAGCGUGGGGAGCAAAAG